GAAUGGCCGAGACGGACGCCCCCCCAGAGCCUCUCGUUCCCCUCCUCCCUCUACAGUAAACUUCACAAAAUUUCUCCCCUCUGGCCCCUCUUCCCCUUCGAUUCCGGCGGUUUUCCGCCGGCGAGGGUUGGAGGAGGGGUCCGGCCACCUUCCCCUAGUAGUAUUUAGUCAGGUUUGUCCUGUUUCUUUAGCAGUCUUGUGUCCUAGGGUUCGGCCGGUGAUGUCUUCCAUGGUGGCGGCCGGUGUUGUGGUUCUCGAAGGCGGCGGUGGUUGGAGAUGGUGGCUUCGUGCCUCUUUGUUGCCGAAUCGAAGCUCCGGUGGUGUAAUCUUCCUCGCGCAAGGGUUCUCAAGGCUGGUGAAGUUUCCAGAUCUGGGUGGAGGUGGAGGAGUUGAUUCCGGCGAGACCGGAGUCCUCCUCUGCUGUGCUUGCGAAGCUGGUGCUUCUCGGUGGCUUCCCCUUCGGCUCCGGCAGCUACAGCAGCCGGCACGGCGCCUUCUCCGAGACUGCGGCCUUCGCCGGUGCGCGAUUCGUCUGGCAGGAGUCGCUUGUGUUCUUGGAGGUUGUGCUGGGGCUAGCACCGGCGCGUGCGCUGUUCUCGGUGGUGCGGCGGUCGGCGUCCCCCUUCGCCGUGCUCCCGAAGUCAGCUGCGCCCAUGCUUGUGCUGCCCUUGCCGACAGUCGACUGCUCCUAGCCGGCACCUUUGGGAUUCUUGUGUUUGGGUGUUUGCUCUGGCCAGACUUGUGUGAUUCCAUGUUGCAGGUCUCCUUCUCCUUAGCCAUCAUCGUCCUCUCAGCAAGACAGAAUCCUGUGGACAACUUCUCUAUUCCCUCAUUGCUGAAGGUUGGCUGGUCUACGAUUUGGCCCUCUCUUCUGUUCCCUAGCAGCAGAAACCGCGAUUGGUUUGUCAUUCGGGUUGAGCUCGAACCACCUGCGCAAUUUCGAUUGACAGGAUUCAAUGACGAACCUCGUGGGGAUUCUUUGUUGAGUCAGGUGACGCUUACACCAAUAUCUUCGGCUCAGCAAUCAACCUCGAUCUGGUGCCGUUCCCGUGUAGGCAACCGAAGGGGAUUAACGGUUUGUCAAGCGGUGUGCACUUCUCAUGAGGCCCAUGGUAGCAGUCGACGCGGUUUUAAGACGUUGUGGCUUUGCAGUAGUCACGACUCACCGCAGCUCCCUAUCGGCUUGCUCCUUUUUCUGCUGUUUGGUUUCAUCUGGAAGGCUGCUUCCGUAGUUUGGUUCACCCUCUCUUUUCAGGGUUGUCCCUUUUGCUUUCAAUUUCUAUCUUUGGUUGUGUACUGGGGUUUAUCCCCUAACUCUGUCCUUGCUUAAUAAAGUCAUU
RNAcentral lists this long non-coding RNA (1340 nucleotides) under Oryza sativa Indica Group (long-grained rice). RNAcentral describes it as "lncRNA OsZS97_09G003120". The record is from RNAcentral. Lineage: Eukaryota; Viridiplantae; Streptophyta; Magnoliopsida; Poales; Poaceae.